AUUCUUGUUUGACAAAGCACAGGUGUGUGUCAGGGUUGUUUUCCAGCAGGGCAGCCUUGCUUCCCUCCAGCAAUGACUAAACUGGAUUUAAGCAGUGUACACAAUGUUCUGAGGCUCCAGGGCUGAGCCAGCUAAUACUUUCAGUCAUGCUGAACAUACCAUCCUUGUGUAGAGAUCAGCUAGUCCCCAGGGUCCCUGGGAGGAACGUGAAUCUCUCUUCGUAAGCCUGCACAUUUCCCGUCUCUGCUCCCUUAAGGUCUCUGACUUCCAGCCAAGGAGGACAGAUUGUCUAGAGGCUGUUACAGGCACAGCACCCACAGGUGGAACCAGUUUUUCAAGAGUGCCAACACAUGCUAUCUGGUGCUCAGAAUAAGGAAAGUGGCACAGCAGAUAGGAUGGAAAGUCUUACCACAGUGGGAUGGAGAGACUGAAAUGACAGUGACAGGAGAUAACGUACCAGGAAAAUAAGAAGAAAAGGAGUAACAGCAGAUUCUCAGCACACUGCCAAAGGCCUGGAGCUUGGGAAAGGUCAGAGCAUUAUCUGCGCUAUGGGUUCAUGAUUUGGGAUAAGGACAAGCAAUUGCUGUAGAACUCAAAAUACAAGAGCAGCUGGUUACUGACAUGGCAUCUGCCUUCAUGGGGACAGCAGUGAGACCCAUCAGAAAAUGAAGAGGAAAAGUAUUCUAGCUCAGUCACAAAGAAGUGCAUCAGAUAUAACAACUACUGAGAGAGAGCUUUUCAGCUUCCUCCCUAAUGGACACAGCUUCUGGAAUGCACAGACAAAAUUGCUCAUGAGGCACUCAAUUCUAGUUAACAAACCCAAACCACAGCAGUUAGCCACAAAUCAUAAUAAAAUGUUACAUAGGUCUUAGGUGUUAACUCUGUCAAACCGUAGCUGACAUCAAUUCCCAAAUUCAGGCAAUUACCCCAGAGGACACAUUUGUCUGAACCAUUAACUUCCCGAAACAGAUUCUCUUGGGCAUUUGCUCAAAAACCUUAAAGAAUAUUCAAACACAGCAAAGAUCAUAAUGGUAAACCAGCUUCUGCACCCACUAGUAAUGUUCAACAUCUUUCACAACAGGCCUUUGGUAUACUUACAUUAAUAUAUAUGAAAGUACUGGAGAAGUUAGAUCUAUUUCCUAGGGAUUCUCCACUGCAUUUAUACUUUCCCACCUUGCAAUCACACAGCCUAUCAAAAAUCAAAGUAAAUGUUACAUUUAAAUAGCCUGCGAUGUAGCUAUCCAAAGCAACUGCACAGCUAUGUGAUGCACUGCUUAUCUAAUUGAAACACUUUUCCUGUGUAUCAGUCAGGAAAAACAGACGUGAUUAAAACAAUAAACUGUUACCAUGUUUCCAAGAAUAACUGAAAUGGUAGAACUUUAUGCAUAAAAGAGCAGGUGGACUGCAAGAUUAAGGGGUGUUUGCAUAUCAUUUGGCUAAUUGACCUCACUCUUUCAAUCAUAUCUCAUUUUAUUGCAGCUCCCACUUUAGGCAAGUACUCUUGUAAGUGCUUUGAAUUCUAUCUCUGCUGUACCAACCCUGAGUUUACACUACAACUCACAAAACAUGCUUCUGGUGUAUAGCACUUUCCAUCAUGUCAAAAAUAGGAGUGGUGAAAGGUGUAAUAACCAGCUUCACACCCUGGCAGAAAGCAAGGGAGGGUUAUACAGCUAGAUUCUGCCACUUGUUGUAGGUGCAAUUCACACUCACUGGGAAAUGUUUCAGAACACUGGUGACCUUUGGGCUCAGCCCUAACAUGAGCUGGAUUUUCCUCAUGAUGCUGCCAGGUUACCCUGCAUGAAGCGCCGUGUCCUAUUCUUUACUGUAAAGGGUAUUCUGCUUUUGGGUGCAAGGCUGUUACAAAUGAGCCCAAGGCACAGGCUCAGCACCGAGCCAGGAGUCGGGAUUCUGAAUUUCUGUUCCCAGUGUUGUCACAUUCUAAACACAUUGCCUUAACUGAAUGACCUAAUCUGUUUAUUCAGCUGCAAAAUUGAGAUAAAAACUG
Pezoporus occidentalis (night parrot) is the source of this 2005-nucleotide long non-coding RNA. RefSeq lists it as uncharacterized. The transcript has 2 exons. The record is from RefSeq and is a predicted model, not a curated record. NCBI's taxonomy places the organism in Eukaryota, Metazoa, Chordata, Aves, Psittaciformes, Psittacidae.